This 878-nucleotide ribosomal RNA is filed under the name Bothriocephalus travassosi. RNAcentral's name for it is "partial 16S ribosomal RNA". The stretch from base 568 to 878 matches the Rfam family "Bacterial large subunit ribosomal RNA", at positions 2048 to 2646 of the family's 2925-position model. Lineage: Eukaryota; Metazoa; Platyhelminthes; Cestoda; Bothriocephalidea; Bothriocephalidae. The record is from RNAcentral.
UUUUGCAUCAUGAGAAUAGUUUAUUUCUUUUUACCGAAAGGGUUUGAUCUUUAAUUCAGUUGGUUAGUAUUUAUUAUCGGGUAGAGUAAGAAACUGAUUUAACGUUGUGAUAAAUAAGUCGUUUGCUCUUAUAUCUGUUUAUUGUCUUAAGUUUCUAUUUAGUUGCAGGGCAGGGAAGUCCUGUAAAUUUACAUAUAUUUGAGGUAUUUUAAUGGUUUAAUUGAAUAGGGUUAAAAAUGCCCCUUUAUUGAAGUUUUGUUACAAUUUGUUUUUAUUUUCGUUUUAUAUUGUGUUUAAAGGGCAAUUAAGUUUAAUGGUUUGUUACAUUUAUGAUACAAUGAGUAAUUCUAAUAUUUUGUAUUGUUUCUCAAGCAUAUUCCGUCUGUUUAUUAAAAACAUUUCUAUAUAGAAUAUUAUAUAGUAGGGCCUGCUCGGUGUUUAAUUAUUAAUGGCCGCAGUAUUUUGACUGUGCGAAGGUAGCAUAAUUAAUUGCCCUUUAAUUGGGGGCUUGUUUGAAUGGUUUGACGUGGGUAUUGUUAACAUUACUUUUAUAGUUGAAAUUAAUUUUGAGGGCACAGAAUCCUCAUUUUUUAAUUAGACGGAAAGACCCCGGGAUCUUUUAAAUUUUGCCUGGGGCAGGUUAUAUUUUUUCAAAUUUUUAUAUUAUGAUCCUAGUUUUGGCAUGUUGGUUUAAGUUACCCCGGGGAUAACAGUGUAAUAAUUUAUUAGAGAUCUUAUCGAAUAAGUUGUUUGCCACCUCGAUGUUGACUUAGGUUUAUAGUAAGGCGCAGUAGUUUUAUUAUGUGGUCUGUUCGACCUUUAUUACCUCCAUGAGUUGAGUUAAGACCGGCGUAAGGCCAGGUCGGUUCUUAUCUAUU